This 2320-nucleotide long non-coding RNA is filed under the name Homo sapiens (human). RNAcentral describes it as "HSALNT0229629". Lineage: Eukaryota; Metazoa; Chordata; Mammalia; Primates; Hominidae. The record is from RNAcentral.
CCUCUCCCUGCCUCCUUCAACAGGGUUUCCCCUUCAGGCCUCCGGGGUCCCCUCCCCAUACCUGAGCUCGCUGGCCUCCUCCCGCUACCCCCCAUUCCCUUCUGACUACCUGGCCCUGCAGCUGCCCGAGCCCAGUCCCCUGAGGCCCAAGCGGGAGAAACGGCCCCGCCUGCCCCGGAAACUCAAGGUACCCUGACGUGGGGGUGCUAGGGAGGGGCAGGACGGCAGGAGGACAGUCACCUGAGGGAGGCUGAAGGCGGGGGCCUGUCAGAGAACCAUGAACAGUUAAUUUGGGGACCCAGUCAGCACUUAGCACUGAGGGGUGGAUCACAGAAGUCUCGGCUUACAGGCUUGUAUGGAGACAAAUCAGGGCAGAACCAGCCUUGGAGGACCCGGUGUGCAGAUGCCAGGGAUCCCGCCCUUUCAUGGCUGCAGUGUAGCGGGGCCAGGCUCAUUUUCCCAGGGGGGCGUGUUGUGUGAUGCCAGGUAGCCCCAGACCGGGUCAGGAUUAUGGGAUCUAGAGUCAAGUCAAGACUGCCUGUUAGAAACCACGUGGCCUUGAGCAGGUCUCUGCUACCCUCUAGGCCUCCUAGGCUUGGCACCUAUAGGGCGAGUGGUCCUACUCGAUGUGACCAGCAAGCGCCCCUGGAGCGCCUCCUGUUACACGGCAGUGCACAAAGCAGACCAGUGCCUGCCCUCACAGAGCUCACAGUCUAGCAAGAUAGGCAGAAAACACACCAGAAAAGUAGGUACUUGUGGAGAAGAACAGAGCGAGGUCCAGAGCAUGGGGACGCCAGGGGGACGAGGCUGACACUUAGGGCCCAGCAGUCUGGGAUGUUCUUGAUCAGAGACUUACAGGAAAUGGCAGCAAGCUGUGUGGCUCCUGGGCAGUGUUUCUGUCGGGCAGAGUCUGUGUUUGGGAGAAAAGUAAGCAGGGAAUUGGGUCCCGGAGCAGGUCAGAGGGGGAGCUCAUGAGGUGCCAGUGUGCAGGAUUCGCUGUGAAUGAAGCCUUGGAGACAGCAGUUCCCUGGCGGGGCGCAGGUUGCAGGUGUGGAGGGGGAGUGAUCUAAUUGCAUCUUAACAAAAUUGCAGACACUGGUGGUCAGAGAACAGACUGAGCGGUGGAGUGAGUUGGGACGGGAGUGAGGAGGCCACCACGGUAAACCAGGCCAAGGGCAGAGGGUCCAGAGGGAGCUGCGGACCCAUUUCAGAGAAUGAGCAUGGGAGUUCCUGGAGGACCUGGUGUGGGCUGUGCGGGAGAGAGGCCAGGAUGCCUCCAGGGCUUUAGUCUGAGCACGAGUGGAGUCUCCCUCCCUGGAGAUGGGAGGGCUGUGGGACCACAGGCUUGGAGGAAAACUGAGUCUGGCCGCGGAUGUGUCAGAUGCCAUCUGGAAAGGCAGCUAGAUAGCGGCCCGUGAGGGGCUGCGCAUUUGGAAGCCGCCAGGCUGGCGGUAGAUGCAAGCCUUGGGAGAGAUGGGGAUGGGCUGAGGGGCAGAGCGGAGUGGGGACCAACUGGGCGGCUCCCAGGGUUCUGGAGCCAGAAGCAGAAUGAGAGGCCGCAUUUGCGGUGGUCUGGAGUACAGGAUCUGGAGCUCUAAUCCCAACUCUGCCGUUUUCUCCGUGUGACCUUGGCCCUGUGAGGCUUCACCUCUUGAGCCUGAGAAGCAGAGGGGAGCGGGAGUCCCUGAAGGGCCAGGGGAGUGAGGAGAUGGAAGGAAGGGAGUCCAAGCAGAGGAAGGAUAGCUGUGAAGACAGAAGCAGGUUGGUUCUGUCAGGCCUGAGUUGGACUUGGCCAGCUUUGAAUCCCAGCUCUUCCAGUGCUCACCAUGCGACCUCAGCGUUGUCAUUUCACUCUUUAAGCCACAGCUCUCUUUCUCCAUUCAGUGGCGGCAUUGUGCGGAGAAUGUGAGUGAAGGGAUGAAAAUCGCUCGGCCCGUGCCUGGCCCCUAGUAAGCCACAGAGAAAUGUGAGCCGCUGCCAGUCAGGCUGAGAGGACGCCACUGAGGAAGUCCAGGCCAGGAGCGCGCGCUCUGGCUGCCGUGCGGAGGAGCUGGAUCUGGGAGAGGCUGCGGGCAGGGAGUCCAGUUAGGAGGCUGGGACCGCAGCCCAGAUGUUCAGCGAUGCAGGUAGCGGGGACGAUGCCUUGGAUGGAGACGAUGACCUGGUGAUCGACAUCCCGGAGUGACCGUGACAUCACGCCAUGCCCACCACGGCCCCGCCCGGCGCCCUCCCCGUGCCAGCACACACGAGUCCAGCUUCCUCGGAGGUGUUUAUUGAUGCCCAGCUGCCAUGCUCCGGCCACUGACACAACCAGAAAAGG